UACACUCCUACGGGAGGCAGCAGUGGGGAAUAUUGGACAAUGGGCGCAAGCCUGAUCCAGCCAUGCCGCGUGAGUGAUGAAGGCCCUAGGGUUGUAAAGCUCUUUCACCGGUGAAGAUAAUGACGGUAACCGGAGAAGAAGCCCCGGCUAACUUCGUGCCAGCAGCCGCGGUAAUACGAAGGGGGCUAGCGUUGUUCGGAUUUACUGAGCGUAAAGCGCACGUAGGCGGACUAUUAAGUCAGGGGUGAAAUCCCGGGGCUCAACCCCGGAACUGCCUUUGAUACUGGUAGUCUUGAGUUCGAGAGAGGUGAGUGGAAUUCCGAGUGUAGAGGUGAAAUUCGUAGAUAUUCGGAGGAACACCAGUGGCGAAGGCGGCUCACUGGCUCGAUACUGACGCUGAGGUGCGAAAGCGUGGGGAGCAAACAGGAUUAGAUACCCCAGUAGUCCCAUGAU
Molecule: ribosomal RNA, 453 nt
Filed under: uncultured organism
Description: partial 16S ribosomal RNA
Rfam family: Bacterial small subunit ribosomal RNA
Source: RNAcentral